ACCAGACUCCUACGGGAGGCAGCAGUGGGGAAUAUUGCACAAUGGGGGGAACCCUGAUGCAGCGACGCCGCGUGAGUGAAGAAGUAUUUCGGUAUGUAAAGCUCUGUCAGCAGGGAAGAAGAAAGACGGUACCUGACCAAGAAGCCCCGGCUAACUACGUGCCAGCAGCCGCGGUAAUACGUAGGGGGCAAGCGUUAUCCGGAUUUACUGGGUGUAAAGGGAGCGUAGACGGCAGUGCAAGUCUGGAGUGAAAGGCGGGGGCUCAACCCCCGGACUGCUCUGGAAACUGUACGGCUGGAGUGCAGGAGAGGUAAGUGGAAUUCCUAGUGUAGCGGUGAAAUGCGUAGAUAUUAGGAGGAACACCGGUGGCGAAGGCGGCCUGCUGGACUGUAACUGACGUUGAGGCUCGAAAGCGUGGGGAGCAAACAGGAUUAGAUACCCCAGUA
RNAcentral lists this ribosomal RNA (446 nucleotides) under uncultured bacterium. RNAcentral describes it as "bacterial SSU rRNA". It matches the Rfam family "Bacterial small subunit ribosomal RNA", at positions 330 to 792 of the family's 1533-position model. The record is from RNAcentral.